CCGUGAGUGGUGGCGUGGGCAGUGUCGCCGGGAGUGAAUGCUCUGGACCGUGUGUGAGAGAACAUGUCAGAGGAAAUUGACCCGGCGGUGCUAAAAGCCACCAAAGAUGCUCUCGGCAAAUUCGUCAAGAAACCGCCGUUGUCGGACAAGCUGCUCAGCAAACCGCCGUUUAAAUUUCUACACGACUUGUUUUCUGCAGUGAUAAGGGACCACGGUUUCAUGGAGGGCUUGUUUACUCCUGCCGAAAUGAAGUCAGACAGCUUCAAGGACAAGGACAGCAAAGUGGCGUACAUUCAGAAAGUCAUCGAUGUGAUGGCACCGAAAGCGAAAAGGAGCUGGAUUUCAAACCGGAUGGCUGAGUGACACUCCUAUUCCUCUUCCUGAACCUCCGCACCGAAGCAAUCCUCCACCAUCCGGAUGGCCGGAUUAUUUCCGGCGGGCGAAAGAGUUUGUUACCGAAGAGAAGCUGGGUAUCAAGCCUGGAAAGGUGGUGGCGGGCCUGGAAGCCAGCAAAACCAAUCUUCUGCUACAGAGCAUUGGAAAUGGCCUGUCCAAUAAGACAAAGACGUCCGAUGCCGUCAAGAAGGUUGUGGAUGGCGAAAAACCUGGGGGAAAAAAGAAGGAUAAAGACAAAAGCAAGAAAUCUAAAGACGGCUCUCCCAAGAAAAACAAGGGUGGCGCAUCCCUCUCUGAUGCCACGAAUAAGUCACCAGAUAAGAAGCCCAAGAAAGAUAAAGAAAAGAAGAAGAAGGAUGAUGGAGAUGACAAGGGUAAAAAGUCAAAGUCCGGCGACGGCGAAAAGCCAAAGAAAAAGAAAGACGCAAAAGGAGAUGCUGGAGAAGACAAAGGCAAAAAGAAGAAAGACGGCACCGGGAAAAAGAAAGAGUAAGUUUUUGCUGGUACAAGCGCAUACAGAAAUAUAAUUUUUCGUUAAUCGUGUCUAAAGGGUGCCAAAUUG
Molecule: RNA transcript, 958 nt
Organism: Pollicipes pollicipes
Lineage: Eukaryota; Metazoa; Arthropoda; Thecostraca; Pollicipedomorpha; Pollicipedidae
Gene name: TRAF3-interacting protein 1
Exons: 8
Source: RefSeq, a predicted model, not a curated record